This is a long non-coding RNA of Ctenopharyngodon idella (grass carp), 1991 nucleotides long. RefSeq lists it as uncharacterized. The transcript has 2 exons. NCBI's taxonomy places the organism in Eukaryota, Metazoa, Chordata, Actinopteri, Cypriniformes, Xenocyprididae. The record is from RefSeq and is a predicted model, not a curated record.
UUACCAGUAAUUAAGACAUUGACCUACAUCAUUUGCUGAUUUAUAAAUCAAGCCUUAGCAACUCGCAGUGGGCCAAAACAGCCAUAUGUUGCAAAAAUAAGACUUGUGAUGCGCAACAAACAAUGGUCUGAUUCUAUGUUCAACAUCGUAAAUAAUAAAACUAAAAAAAUAAAGUUAAACCGUGACGCCCUCUAGUGGUUUAUUGUUUUUAUAGUAAUCUGGCAAGACUUCUGAUGUGGAUGUCUGUUUGGCCCACAACAUUUGUUAGACAAUUUUAAUAAAAUGUGUUGCUUUGAGCUGUUUUAAAAAUAUAAAUGUACCUAAAAUGUUACAAAAUAGGUUCCUGAGGUAGCCUGUGUGUAAGUCCAUAGGAGUCCAGGAUGUUGGAUUGAGGGGCAGGGCCAAAAAGAUGUUAAAUAUUGACGAGGAGUGUAAUUAUUAACUAAGCUUCAACUUCAAAUCACUUUUAAACUGGCCUCUCUCGGCCUGACAUAGCACUGCUGACCGACGCACCCAUCUCACCUGUUGACUCUCUCGUUGUGCUGUCACUAUCUUUGCUGUUUUCAGUUCCUUUUCAAAUUUUUGAACAGAUAUUUUUGCUUUGCUUCUGUUAAUUUUUUAAUCUCCAUAUUUAUAUAACUUUUCUUUAGUUUAAAUUAGUUCUCUUUUUUUUUUUGAUACGUCAAGCUCCAAAAACAUGGACUCCCACGAGGAAUAACUUAAGGUGGAACCACGCUUUCCUCUUCCCCCUUUUUUUUUUAAUAGAAAACUACCCUGUAUGGUGAGAAUUUUUUUUUUAAUGAAUAAAGUGCACUUCCUUCCGCUGUCCAGAGGGGGCACUCCAAAGAUUCGGUGCUGACUGGUUGUAACAGCAACUCCAUGUGGAAGGAUUGUGUCUUCCAGUGGAGCUGCUGUUGCGUGCAGAUAGUCACCUUUAUCUGCCUUGUUUCUACAUCACUGCUUCUUUUAAGUGAACAAAGAAUAUAAAGUCCUAAUGUUUUUUAUUCUGAUUUAAUUUAACACUUAAUAUUUGACUGCAAUUGUACAUCUAUACUAGCAGAAAGCAUGUUUAACCCAGGGUCUAGGACACAGGAUGAUGACCUAUGAAUUGACAGCCAGUGUUUGCAGUCCAGCUGCCUGUCAGUUCUGUAGGCCACUGUCCUGUUUGUCCUACUAAACACACACUGAUUUGCACAGAGAAUGCAGGACACUGUAUAAAUCUUAUGUAUAAAUGUUGGGAUAAAUAAACGUAAAACCUUAAUUUAAAGGUUAAGUUUUUUUGGGAACAUGUAUGUAUUUAUUUUGAUGUUGCUAACUGUUAAAACAUGAGUUAUAUUGAUUUAAUUACUGUAAUUUCAUUUGAACGUUCAAUUAUUUUUAAAUCGUAUUUUUUUUUUAAAUAUUAAAUGUAUCUUUUACAAGUUUUCACACUGUUUUCAUCAUAUACAUAUUUCUUAUGUUUUUUUGUCAUAUUCUUUGCAUACAUUUCAUAUAAAAAAUUUUUACACAGUUUUUCAAAAUCAAUGUUGUCAUGACUUAAGGCUCAUUCACACCAACGAUAACAAUAAAGAUAUUUACAAUAACUAUAUUAGCGUCCACAUCAACACAAGAUAAUAUACAGGUUACGUCUCAAUCAGCUCCCUAGCUUCCCUAGGUUAUGAAUCAGUAUAUCGUGUACACGAAUUCAGGCACUGGUAAGGACUGAAAGGACCCUGGCUCACUACACAUUGGGACACUGAAGACUCUAUUUCCGGCGACAUGAACAACAUCACUACUGGUAUUUAUGAACAACAGCAGAACUAAUAUCUUUCUGACAUUAUGAUUUAAUGUUAUUUAAAGUACAUUAUGAUAAAUACUUUUCUUGUUACAUAUACGUGCAACAUUUCAGCUGUAAAUAAAUUAUAAAUGUUAGCUAGAUUAUGUUCAUUACCUGUCUAGCGAUGCAUGUUUAUACUGAAAUAUAAUUAAAUAAUCUUUUGUAUUUUAAAAAA